RNAcentral lists this long non-coding RNA (235 nucleotides) under Elaeis guineensis (African oil palm). RNAcentral's name for it is "long non-coding RNA (EGUI_LNC039494)". Lineage: Eukaryota; Viridiplantae; Streptophyta; Magnoliopsida; Arecales; Arecaceae. The record is from RNAcentral.
UGCCAUGGUAUAUUAAAUGCAUUAGCUUAUCAGACUAAUAAAUACUCUUCGAAAUUGUAUAAGACUUUGACUUGCAUCUUGCCUAAGAUAGACCUUAGAGAGGGCUCAUCUCCAUUAUAGGCCAGGUCAAAUGAGGACGACACAAAAAUCUGGAGCCAUACCUCACCCAACCCAAGUCAGCAUCGGGUAAAGACUCAAUUCAUAUAUUCGCCCAUGGGUCAUGUUGAGUCACCCA